UGGUGAAUCUCUCGUUGGUUUAACCAACUGAAAGUGAAAGUGGCAGUUAAAUUUGUCCAAACCUUUUGAAUGUUUAUCGGAAGCCAAACAUUGGCACUUUCAGUAGUCCCUGGAAAAUGACCUUCGUUGUCUUCCUCUCACCUGCUGCCUCUCUCCAGCUCAUAAGCAUUCACACGUUUAUCUCACUAUUUGCAUGCUGAUAAUAGACAUAGAUUUUGUUAGUCCUGCAUCUGUCGAGACGGCGGGGACAAUAAUAGAAGCACCGUCGGGACCAAUAUAUAUUGGUCUUAGGAGUGUGUCCAAUCAUGUCUGGGUCAGGGAGCCUUUAACUGCAGUGUCAGGGAAUUUAGUCAGCUGUCAUCGCUUCUUAAUUAAAAAUAGCUGAGACUCACUUGCAUUCCGUUGCUAUGUGUUAGCUCAUUUGUCAUCUUGUCCUCUGCUCUCCAGCAACCCCCCUGAACACCCUCAAAAAGGGGCAGCGGAUAGAAAUGCAGCAGAUCUCCUUUUGGCAGCUGGAUGAGAAGGGCAUGCCACCAUAAAGGAGGGAUCACUGAAACGAGGUUAAAGUUGUAUUCAAAAGCAACACCAGUGCUGUACGUUGCACGUAUCACCACUAUUGAGGGUCAAUACCUCUUCCCUGGAGUCACUGUCAGAGUUCUAGAACUGCAUUUGGGGAAAUCAAGAACUGAAUACGUUCCUUUUUUAUUUCUGCUCAUUUUCAGGGGGCAAGUUUUGCAGCUGUACUGAAAUAGCAUGUUAGCAGCCGUAGCGGAUGAUGCAUUCUCCUGUUGGUGUGGCCAGCAGCAGCAGAAGUGAAUUUUCUGGACUUUUGCUUGUGGUUCCAAAGGCUUUUCUCUAGGUGACCGUUCACCCAAAGGUGGGUGAUCCCUUUCCUUCAGUGCCUCUACACUGCCAGCCUUUCAGCGUUUCCCGAGUUGCUGCUGACGUACUUCAAGCUGGGGCUGGGUGACGUGGCAAAUCAUAGAGGUAUCACUAGCAGCACAGCCACGGAUUGAGGUGACCUAGAUUUAGAAAAUGGAGAUCAGAUAAAAUGCUCACUGUGCUCUGUUCUAAGGAGACACGCAGCCAAGAAGCUGAAGUGGAGGAACAAUUUCUCUCUUGAGUUGUUUGAAACAGAAAGAGGCUCAGUCCUUUUCUCCCCGACCUUAAGUGGCUCCGUGACAUGUGCUAGGCUGUGACCUCAUUUGUUUCACCUGUCCUUUCUCUCCCUGUAGUCUCAGGCCCACGGAGAGAUGGACAAGGGGCCAUGAGGGCUUCCCCCCCUCUCCCAAAUAAGAGAGGCAGCUUUCAGAUGAAAAAUCAGUCUGCUUCAUAUUAACCCUCCUUGCUUUGGUUCUGAACGUGAAGAGACAUGUUUCUUACCCCUCCUCCCUUCCCUCCCAAGCCGUCAAUCUUGCUGGGAGAAUCAACCCAUCUCACCUCAUUGUCUGGUUAGUUCUGUGUUGAAGGGGAAUGGGACUGCAGCAUUUGUACGCAUUCUAAAAAGAAAUCUUCUGGACUGUAGAAAUUCUCCCUUUU
Molecule: long non-coding RNA, 1539 nt
Filed under: Struthio camelus australis
Lineage: Eukaryota; Metazoa; Chordata; Aves; Struthioniformes; Struthionidae
Description: lncRNA (ENSSCUG00000011470.1)
Source: RNAcentral